This 88-nucleotide transfer RNA is filed under the name Candidatus Methylomirabilota bacterium. Its description in RNAcentral is "tRNA-Leu". It matches the Rfam family "tRNA". Rfam says of the family: Transfer RNA (tRNA) molecules are approximately 80 nucleotides in length. Their secondary structure includes four short double-helical elements and three loops (D, anti-codon, and T loops). The record is from RNAcentral. Lineage: Bacteria; Methylomirabilota (SeqCode).
GCCGGGGUGGCGGAAUAGGCAGACGCAAGGGACUUAAAAUCCCUCGGGCCUGAAGUCCGUGCGGGUUCGAGUCCCGCCCUCGGCACCA